CCUACGGGUGGCAGCAGUGAGGAAUAUUGGUCAAUGGGCGAGAGCCUGAACCAGCCAAGUAGCGUGAGGGAAGACGGUCCUAUGGGUUGUAAACCUCUUUUAUCGGGGAGCAAAAGACGCCACGCGUGCCGUUCCGAGAGUACCCGAAGAAAAAGCAUCGGCUAACUCCGUGCCAGCAGCCGCGGUAAUACGGAGGAUUCAAGCGUUAUCCGGAUUUAUUGGGUUUAAAGGGUGCGUAGGUGGGUGGAUAAGUUAGUGGUGAAAUGCCGAGGCUCAACUUCGGAAUUGCCGUUGAUACUGGCCGUCUAGAGAGUAGUUGAGGUAGGCGGAA
This 331-nucleotide ribosomal RNA is filed under the name uncultured bacterium. RNAcentral describes it as "partial 16S ribosomal RNA". It matches the Rfam family "Bacterial small subunit ribosomal RNA", at positions 338 to 666 of the family's 1533-position model. The record is from RNAcentral.